This 429-nucleotide ribosomal RNA is filed under the name uncultured archaeon. Its description in RNAcentral is "bacterial SSU rRNA". It matches the Rfam family "Archaeal small subunit ribosomal RNA", at positions 474 to 903 of the family's 1478-position model. The record is from RNAcentral.
UACCAGCUCUCCGAGUGGUGUGGAUGUUUAUUGGGCCUAAAGCAUCCGUAGCUGGCUGGGCAAGUCCCCUGUUAAAUCCACCGAUUUAAUCGUUGGAGUGCGGGGGAUACUGCUCGGCUAGGGGGCGGGAGAGGCAGACGGUAUUUUCGGGGUAGGGGUGAAAUCCUAUAAUCCCGAGAAGACCACCAGUGGCGAAGGCUGUCUGCUAGAACGUGCCCGACGGUGAGGGAUGAAAGCUGGGGGAGCGAACCGGAUUAGAUACCCGGGUAGUCCCAGCUGUAAACGAUGCAGGCUAGGUGUUUGGACGGCCACGUGCCGUUCUAGUGCCGCAGGGAAGCCGUUAAGCCUGCCGCCUGGGGAGUACGGCCGCAAGGCUGAAACUUAAAGGAAUUGGCGGGGGAGCACCACAAGGGGUGAAGCUUGCGGUUU